UAUAACAAAAUGAAUCCAUAUAUCUACCCAGCCUCUGGUAACAUAGAAUUUCAUAAAACCACAGUUUUGAGACAGACUUCUCAACGAGUUUUCAUUUUUGCUAAUUUGUCUGCAAAACCAUACGUUUUGUGUCCAAUUGUCCCACAUCACCCAAAACACAACGGUUUAAGCGCAUUUGACGUAUUUCUUACAUGUGGGUCCGUGUGUCAGGCGUUUUUUCAUUAGAGGUCUUGUCUUUUUCUUUUUUCUUUCUCAUCCCCUCAUCUUCUUCUACCAUACAACUUAUCUCACUUCGCAGGGCAAAUAAAAUAGGAAAUGACCCGUCCCAUACAACUUUUGGCCAUAUAUAACGCCCGCGGGCGCUGAUGCAUUUUCAGCGUGUGUAGUUGGUCAGCGCCACCACUACGAAGGAAACGUACUUUACGAUCAACACGCAUACUGGAGUACGUAAAACGUACUCCAACUCUUACUGAAUACAACUCUUAAUUAACCAGUGAGAAACAUGCCCAUCGGUGAUCGGUCAAUCAACCGUGGCCAGCCGCCAGCCUACUAUGGUACA
RNAcentral lists this long non-coding RNA (559 nucleotides) under Brachypodium distachyon (stiff brome). RNAcentral's name for it is "long non-coding RNA (BDIS_LNC000984)". Lineage: Eukaryota; Viridiplantae; Streptophyta; Magnoliopsida; Poales; Poaceae. The record is from RNAcentral.